This 520-nucleotide ribosomal RNA is filed under the name uncultured bacterium. Its description in RNAcentral is "bacterial SSU rRNA". It matches the Rfam family "Bacterial small subunit ribosomal RNA", at positions 25 to 518 of the family's 1533-position model. The record is from RNAcentral.
CAGGACGAACGCUGGCGGCGUGCCUAAUACAUGCAAGUCGAACGGUCUUUCUAUGGAAGCUUGCUUCCACUGAGAAGAUAGUGGCGAACGGGUGAGUAACACGUGGGUAACCUGCCCAUAAGAGGGGGAUAACAUCCGGAAACGGGUGCUAAUACCGCAUAGUUUUCUUGACCGCAUGAUCGGGAAAGGAAAGACGGCCUUUGUGCUGUCGCUUAUGGAUGGACCCGCGGCGUAUUAGUUAGUUGGUGAGGUAACGGCUCACCAAGACGAUGAUACGUAGCCGACCUGAGAGGGUGAUCGGCCACAUUGGGACUGAGACACGGCCCAAACUCCUACGGGAGGCAGCAGUAGGGAAUCUUCCGCAAUGGACGAAAGUCUGACGGAGCAACGCCGCGUGAGUGAAAGAAGGUUUUCGGAUCGUAAAACUCUGUUGUCAGAGAAGAACAAGUUGGAGAGUAACUGCUCCAGCCUUGACGGUAUCUGACCAGAAAGCCACGGCUAACUACGUGCCAGCCGCGGC